GAUGAACGCUAGCGGGAGGCUUAACACAUGCAAGUCGAGGGGCAGCAUAGGGUAGCAAUACUCUGAUGGCGACCGGCAAACGGGUGAGUAACGCGUAUGCAACCUACCCUGUACAGGGGGAUAACCCGGAGAAAUUCGGACUAAUAUCCCGUAAUAAUAUCCGGAGGCAUCUUUGGAUAUUUAAAGUUCCGACGGUACGGGAUGGGCAUGCGUAACAUUAGCUAGUUGGUAAGGUAACGGCUUACCAAGGCUAUGAUGUUUAGGGGUCCUGAGAGGGUGGUCCCCCACACUGGUACUGAGACACGGACCAGACUCCUACGGGAGGCAGCAGUGAGGAAUAUUGGUCAAUGGGCGCAAGCCUGAACCAGCCAUCCCGCGUGCAGGAAGACGGCCCUAUGGGUUGUAAACUGCUUUUCCAGGGAGAGAAACUUACGCACGUGUUGCGUGACUGACGGUACCCUGGGAAUAAGCAUCGGCUAACUCCGUGCCAGCAGCCGCGGUAAGCACGAGAGUA
RNAcentral lists this ribosomal RNA (514 nucleotides) under uncultured bacterium. RNAcentral's name for it is "bacterial SSU rRNA". It matches the Rfam family "Bacterial small subunit ribosomal RNA", at positions 28 to 533 of the family's 1533-position model. The record is from RNAcentral.